This 375-nucleotide ribosomal RNA is filed under the name uncultured organism. RNAcentral's name for it is "partial 16S ribosomal RNA". It matches the Rfam family "Bacterial small subunit ribosomal RNA", at positions 527 to 896 of the family's 1533-position model. The record is from RNAcentral.
GUAGGUGGCAAGCGUUGUCCGGGAAUUAUUGGGGCGUAAAGCGCGCGCAGGCGGUUCUUUAAGUCUGAUGUGAAAGCCCACGGGCUCAACCGUGGAGGGUCAUUGGAAACUGGAGAACUUGAGUACAGAAGAGGAAAGCGGAAUUCCACGUGUAGCGGUGAAAUGCGUAGAGAUGUGGAGGAACACCAGUGGCGAAGGCGGCUUUCUGGUCUGUAACUGACGCUGAGGCGCGAAAGCGUGGGGAGCAAACAGGAUUAGAUACCCUGGUAGUCCACGCCGUAAACGAUGAGUGCUAAGUGUUAGGGGGUUUCCGCCCCUUAGUGCUGCAGCUAUCGCAUUAAGCACUCCGCCUGGGGAGUACGGCCGCAAAGGCUG